UACGGGGGGGGCAAGCGUUGUUCGGAAUUACUGGGCGUAAAGGGCUCGUAGGCGGCCAACUAAGUCCGACGUGAAAUCCCCAGGCUUAACCUGGGAACUGCGUCGGAUACUGGAUGGCUUGAAUUCGGGAGAGGGAUGCAGAAUUCCAGGUGUAGCGGUGAAAUGCGUAGAUAUCUGGAGGAAUACCGGUGGCGAAGGCGGCAUCCUGGACCGACAUUGACGCUGAGGAGCGAAAGCUAGGGGAGCAAAGCGGG
This 254-nucleotide ribosomal RNA is filed under the name uncultured bacterium. RNAcentral describes it as "partial 16S ribosomal RNA". It matches the Rfam family "Bacterial small subunit ribosomal RNA", at positions 524 to 777 of the family's 1533-position model. The record is from RNAcentral.